RNAcentral lists this ribosomal RNA (955 nucleotides) under Prevotella sp. RNAcentral's name for it is "bacterial SSU rRNA". It matches the Rfam family "Bacterial small subunit ribosomal RNA", at positions 1 to 945 of the family's 1533-position model. The record is from RNAcentral. Lineage: Bacteria; Pseudomonadati; Bacteroidota; Bacteroidia; Bacteroidales; Prevotellaceae.
ACAAUGUAGAGUUUGAUCCUGGCUCAGGAUGAACGCUAGCUACAGGCUUAACACAUGCAAGUCGAGGGGCAGCAUUUAUUUCCGCUUGCGGAGAUAAGAUGGCGACCGGCGCACGGGUGAGUAACGCGUAUCCAACCUGCCCCAUACUCGGGUCCAGCCCUCCGAAAGGAGGAUUAAUCCCCGAUGUUGUUCUUUGCGGGCAUCUAAUGAGAACCAAAGGUUUUUCCGGUAUGGGAUGGGGAUGCGUCUGAUUAGGAAGUAGGCGGGGUAACGGCCCACCUAUCCAUCGAUCAGUAGGGGUUCUGAGAGGAAGGUCCCCCACACUGGAACUGAGACACGGUCCAGACUCCUACGGGAGGCAGCAGUGAGGAAUAUUGGUCAAUGGUCGUAAGACUGAACCAGCCAAGUAGCGUGCAGGAUGACGGCCCUAUGGGUUGUAAACUGCUUUUAUGCGGGGAUAAAUGACACCACGUGUGGUGUUUUGUAGGUACCGCAUGAAUAAGGACCGGCUAAUUCCGUGCCAGCAGCCGCGGUAAUACGGAAGGUCCGGGCGUUAUCCGGAUUUAUUGGGUUUAAAGGGAGCGUAGGCCGCAUGUUAAGCGUGCCGUGAAAUGCCGUGGCUCAACCAUGGCACUGCGGCGCGAACUGGCUUGCUUGAGUGCGCGGAACGUAUGCGGAAUUCGUGGUGUAGCGGUGAAAUGCUUAGAUAUCACGAAGAACUCCGAUUGCGAAGGCAGCAUACGGCAGCGCUACUGACGCUGAAGCUCGAAGGCGCGGGUAUCGAACAGGAUUAGAUACCCUGGUAGUCCGCGCGGUAAACGAUGGAUGCCCGCUGUUGGCGAUAUACUGUCAGCGGCCAAGCGAAAGCGUUAAGCAUCCCACCUGGGGAGUACGCCGGCAACGGUGAAACUCAAAGGAAUUGACGGGGGCCCGCACAAGCGGAGGAACAUGUGGU